GCUCCUCUUCUUGGCCCCAAUGAUUACUUUUAAGAGGAUCAUAAGGCACAAGUCGACAGAAGAGUUUUCUGGCAUUCCAUACCUGAUGUCCUUGCUCAGUUGCCUCCUUUUCGGAUGGUAUGGCCUUCCAUUUGUAUCCCCUCACAAUUUUUUAUUAUCAACAAUCAGUCUCGCCGGUGCAGCAAUCGAGUUCAUAUACGUGGUGAUCUUCAUCCUAUAUGCCCCCAAGAACGAGAAGGCUAAGAU
This is a long non-coding RNA of Alnus glutinosa, 246 nucleotides long. RefSeq lists it as uncharacterized. NCBI's taxonomy places the organism in Eukaryota, Viridiplantae, Streptophyta, Magnoliopsida, Fagales, Betulaceae. The record is from RefSeq and is a predicted model, not a curated record. The transcript is spliced from 3 exons.